AACAAUCAGGGACACGGCGGCCAGUCACAGGGGACGGCAGGACAAGGCAGGAAGUGAAGCUACCCCUCAAAUAGAUAAUCCACAAAAUGUGUUUUGAAGGUUGGCCUCAGCUGGUGCUCUCUCGACAGAGCUUGGUGUAAUAUCUUCCUAAAUGAGCUAAAAGGAGGGCGGCCUCCCCGUGACUCGGCAGUCUGUCAGGCCCAGAUAACGCAGUGGGAAGAGCAUCAAUGCCGUCAAUUCUUACUCCUCUCCUUGACCUUGGCUCCCUGGGCAUCAGUCAACUCUCCAAGAGGUUCGCUUUUUCCUCACUUCAGUCUAGCAGGACUCCACAUCCCAUAAUUUGAGGAACAGGGGCCCGUGGCCUGAAAUGAACCCCGGGCAUCGCUUGUCAAAUCAAUACCCAGUAAAGAAACAACACAGGUAGGAGCUAUGGAUGCUGUGCCCUGUGGACGAGAACGACUCGCAACUCGCCAAACACCCGAAAUUGAAUAAGACGCUCGCAGAUGAAUCUGAUGAAUUAGAUGCAACGUGGCCCGAGAUGGCUGUUGAGGUGUUGUGGUUGAAGUCAAAACGGCAUCGGAGAUCAACAGGGAACAUGAAUAAAACACACACACA
Long non-coding RNA from Pungitius pungitius (ninespine stickleback), 615 nucleotides. RefSeq lists it as uncharacterized. NCBI's taxonomy places the organism in Eukaryota, Metazoa, Chordata, Actinopteri, Perciformes, Gasterosteidae. The record is from RefSeq and is a predicted model, not a curated record. The transcript is spliced from 5 exons.